CCUACGGGGGGCUGCAGUGGGGAAUAUUGGACAAUGGGCGAAAGCCUGAUCCAGCCAUGCCGCGUGUGUGAAGAAGGCCUUCGGGUUGUAAAGCACUUUCAGUGGGGAAGAAAGCCUUGGGGCUAAUACCCUCGAGGAAGGACAUCACCCACAGAAGAAGCACCGGCUAACUCCGUGCCAGCAGCCGCGGUAAUACGGAGGGUGCGAGCGUUAAUCGGAAUUACUGGGCGUAAAGCGCGCGUAGGCGGUCUGAUAAGCCGGUUGUGAAAGCCCCGGGCUCAACCUGGGAACGGCAUCCGGAACUGUCAGGCUAGAGUGCAGGAGAGGAAGGUAGAAUUCCCGGUGUAGCGGUGAAAUGCGUAGAGAUCGGGAGGAAUACCAGUGGCGAAGGCGGCCUUCUGGACUGACACUGACGCUGAGGUGCGAAAGCGUGGGUAGCAAACAGGAUUAGAUACCCCGUGUC
This 463-nucleotide ribosomal RNA is filed under the name Vreelandella stevensii. Its description in RNAcentral is "partial 16S ribosomal RNA". It matches the Rfam family "Bacterial small subunit ribosomal RNA", at positions 338 to 795 of the family's 1533-position model. Lineage: Bacteria; Pseudomonadati; Pseudomonadota; Gammaproteobacteria; Oceanospirillales; Halomonadaceae. The record is from RNAcentral.